Pantherophis guttatus is the source of this 2104-nucleotide long non-coding RNA. RefSeq lists it as uncharacterized. Lineage: Eukaryota; Metazoa; Chordata; Lepidosauria; Squamata; Colubridae. The record is from RefSeq and is a predicted model, not a curated record.
GAGAAGAGAAGAUUUGGCUGAGUAUAAUUAGUCACACAAGAAUUUGGUCUCAACAUCUUUUUUCUGUAUCUUGGUGACCAGAACUGGAUGCCGUAUUCCAAACCUUAACUCAAUUGAAAAUCUAUGGAGCCGACUAAAGAAACUUGUUAGUCAGAAGCGACCCAGCAAUAAAACCCAGUUAAUAGAAGCCACCAUUCAAUCUUGGUUUCACAUUAUAACAGCUGCAGAACUCAAAGACUUGGUUCAGUCCAUGGAAAGCAUUGUAAGGCCAAAAUUCAUGCUAAAGAUUUUAAGAUGCUUUAUCCAAUCAUACAACUUUGUGAAAAAAAGAAAAGGGACUUGGACAUGCUGUGGGCAUGGGAAAGCAUAUAUACAGAUUUCAAGAUGAUUUAUCCAAUGAUACAAGAAAGAGACUUGGACAUGCUACAGACAUAGGAAAGAGUAUGUAAAUGGAUUACAUAAGCAAAGGGAGGAACCAAUUUGAUGACUCUAGAACAACUCUCUGCAGCCAACACUUUGGGGCCAACUCUCAGCGGCCAACUCUUAGUGGCCAACUUACCAUGGCCAAUUUGCCACUGCCAGCUCACCGUACUCAAGUCCAGGUGGCCAAAUCUCCAUGGCCAACAUUCUGUGGCCAAUUCUCCAUGGCCAACUUGCCAGAGCCAACUCAUUGCCUUCAACUCCCCACAGCCCCCACUCUGUGGCCAACUCACCAUGGACAAAAGUUACACUAAUAUCAAAGAAAUGGUGGAGUAGAAUCAUUAAAGAAAGGAUGCAAAAGGAAGGACAACAUGAAAUGUGAAGGACAACAAUUAAAAUAUUUUUUAAAUUAUAUUAAAUAAUUAAAUUGAAUUGUUGUGUCAGGGUUCCGACGGAUGCCCUAAUUAAAUCAUGACUCUCGAGCCAAGCUUCAAAAGAAAUCCAGACAUUUAUUAGGAGCUUCAUGUUGGCAUGUUCCCAGAUGAAGCCAGCUCUGACCCAGCUCCAAUUAUGACCCAGUUUUCCCCCCUCUCCCCCCAGAGUGUGUCAUCAAUCAUAUUCGCCAAUGGAACAAUUUCACGGGUUGUAGAAGUCACUCCCCUCUGGUCGCUGUGGGUAAUCCUGGGAUACAGCCUUGAGAGAGAUAAGCAUGGAAUGUGCAUCUGUCGUUGCCUGCUGUGCCAUUUUACCGUUUUCCCAUCCCCCCUGGCCUAUGGCAACUCAAGAGCAAGCCAGGGAUGCUUUGCAAAUUGACAUGUUGAUUCGUACUGUAGCAAGCUACCCCAUGGCGAAUUGGAUGUGGUGAGUUGUCCUAUUUAGGCAUUUGAUAGAAGAUGGGCAAAUCCAGUGGUGGGAUUCAGCCAGUUCUCACCUAUUCGGGAGAACCAGUUGUUAACUUUCUAAGCAGUUCGGAGAACUGGUUGUUGGAAGAAAUCUUAUUUUGUUUUUUUCCACUUUACAGGGCUAAUCCUGUAAGGAAGGCAGGAAGGAAACAUUCUGCUGUUGUUUCUAGCCUAAUCUUUAUUGCCCUGCUUACAGAAACUGCCUCUAUAGUUAACCCUUAUUACAUUGUAACAGCUAAAGCGAAGCGCCCAUCGAUGUCAGUGACGUUGAGUUGGCCACACAUGGUCACAUGACCACCAAGCCACGCCUACCCAGCUGGUCAUUAGGGCAGAGAACUGGUUGUUAAAUUUGAAUCCCACCACUGGGCAUAUCCUUUCCUUUACUACCCUUUGGAAACUAAUUUGAAAGGGAAGCAGAGUAGAAAAAUUUUAUAACGAAUGAGAACUCAAUGGAGACAGAAUUUUGCGGAUGGCUGACUCUGUGUGGUUUUGGUAUCGGUGCUCUGUAGCUUUCUCUUAUAGUGCUCUGUGCCGGGCACAGAAAUAUACUGCUCUAUCUGAGGUUGUCAAAGAUCUCAACUCAAGGUAGACUUCAUUUUUGGAAGUGUCUCUUGUGAUAACAAUUCUAUUGUUAAAACUGAAUUGUAGUAGGUGUCCCCUCCUUGGUUAACGCUCUUAAUUCCUCCCAGCCAUUCAAAACUUUUUCCUGGACAUUUUCGGUUCCAACCCCAGAACCAACCAUCAACUUCAACUCCAGAAACAGCACAGUCCAGUUUGACCGA